UUGGUAUACGUGCCGACUGGACACGACGACUUGCAUAAUCAUUAAAUUCUUUCCGAGAUAACCUAAUAACCUUGAUUAGCUAAGCAGUUUGACAAGCAAGCCUUUUUGAAUGGCCUUGCCGCCCAUACCAUGCCUUAGAACAAUUAUCGAGUCAGAUUGGACUACAAAGGCGUACCUGUAAUUGAAAAAUGUACCGGCAGAAGUUGCCGUACACAGUGACUGGACUUGAUCCACGUGGCGAAGAAGGAAAACGUUUUGCAAACAAACUUCGAACACGUAGGUCCCGUUCUUCUAUUUUCGAACAUGAUGGAAAUAUGCCAAAUAUUCGCGCGAUGAAGGUAAAUACAAGCCAGGUUUGACGUCAAAGCUGGCAAGAAAAAUGGCAAAUGUUUCAAUCAUUGGAAUAAUUAGUAGUUUAAAAAUAAGUCAAGAACAGUCUACCGUAUUUUUUCCACCACUCGUUAUCUGGUCCAAUGAAGAACUUAAAAUCCCCAUAAUUUUACACGGUAAUAACUUUUCCGGUUUAGGAAUUUUAAAAUCUAGAUUUAAAAAAAAAAGCAUAGCCCUUGAUGAUAUCAUGCAUCGUUAUCAAUGGGCGAGAGCAUGAACGACUUGAAGUCUAGUCUUGUGCACAAAAAAUAUAUACAUCGACCAACAUGGAAAACCUGACGUCAGAAGACACUGAAAUACGUCCAUAAAUAAGGCAUGUCCGGGUGGAUACCAAGAAGGUUGAAAAAAAAUAUACAUAUAUAUAUAUAAAUAAUAAUAAA
Molecule: long non-coding RNA, 770 nt
Organism: Daphnia magna
Lineage: Eukaryota; Metazoa; Arthropoda; Branchiopoda; Diplostraca; Daphniidae
Exons: 2
Source: RefSeq, a predicted model, not a curated record